RNAcentral lists this ribosomal RNA (216 nucleotides) under uncultured bacterium. Its description in RNAcentral is "partial 16S ribosomal RNA". It matches the Rfam family "Bacterial small subunit ribosomal RNA", at positions 524 to 739 of the family's 1533-position model. The record is from RNAcentral.
UACGUAGGGGGGCAAGCGUUGUCCGGAUUUAUUGGGCGUAAAGCGCUCGCAGGUGGUUCGUCGCGUCGUGCGUGAAAGACCCCGGCUCAACUGGGGAGGGUCGUGCGAUACGGGCGGACUGGAGGCCAGUAGGGGGAUGCGGAAUUCCGGGUGUAGUGGUGGAAUGCGUAGAGAUCCGGGAGGAACACCAGCGGCGAAGGCGGCAUCCUGGAUGCC